This 348-nucleotide unclassified non-coding RNA is filed under the name soil metagenome. RNAcentral's name for it is "partial contains 5.8S ribosomal RNA, internal transcribed spacer 2, and large subunit ribosomal RNA". The stretch from base 1 to 120 matches the Rfam family "5.8S ribosomal RNA", at positions 35 to 154 of the family's 154-position model. The record is from RNAcentral.
GAUGAAGAACGCAGCGAAAUGCGAUAAGUAAUGUGAAUUGCAGAAUUCAGUGAAUCAUCGAAUCUUUGAACGCACAUUGCGCCCGCCAGUAUUCUGGCGGGCAUGCCUGUCUGAGCGUCAUUUCAACCCUCAUGCCCCUAGGGCGUGGUGUUGGGGAUCGGCCAAAGCCCGCGAGGGACGGCCGGCCCCUAAAUCUAGUGGCGGACCCGUCGUGGCCUCCUCUGCGAAGUAGUGAUAUUCCGCAUCGGAGAGCGACGAGCCCCUGUCGUUAAACCCCCAACUUUCCAAGGUUGACCUCAGAUCAGGUAGGAAUACCCGCUGAACUUAAGCAUAUCAAUAAGCGGAGGA